AUGAACGCUGGCGGCGUGCCUAAUACCUGCAAGUCGAGCGAACAGACGAGGAGCUUGCUCCUCUGACGUUAGCGGCGGACGGGUGAGUAACACGUGGAUAACCUACCUAUAAGCCUGGGAUAACUUCGGGAAACCGGAGCUAAUACCGGAUAAUAUAUUGAACCGCAUGGUUCAAUAGUGAAAGACGGUUUUGCUGUCACUUAUAGAUGGAUCCGCGCCGCAUUAGCUAGUUGGUAAGGUAACGGCUUACCAAGGCGACGAUGCGUAGCCGACCUGAGAGGGUGAUCGGCCACACUGGAACUGAGACACGGUCCAGACUCCUACGGGAGGCAGCAGUAGGGAAUCUUCCGCAAUGGGCGAAAGCCUGACGGAGCAACGCCGCGUGAGUGAUGAAGGUCUUCGGAUCGUAAAACUCUGUUAUUAGGGAAGAACAAAUGUGUAAGUAACUAUGCACGUCUUGACGGUACCUAAUCAGAAAGCCACGGCUAACUACGUG
RNAcentral lists this ribosomal RNA (496 nucleotides) under uncultured bacterium. RNAcentral's name for it is "partial 16S ribosomal RNA". It matches the Rfam family "Bacterial small subunit ribosomal RNA", at positions 29 to 507 of the family's 1533-position model. The record is from RNAcentral.